CGUGCACCCGGCGGGAUGGCGUGUGCGGCCUCACCCAACCCCCUCCCCGUGGCCACCCUCCCCGCUCGCCGCCGCAGCACGACUGCUGCCGUGCCCGCCUGCCACUACCCCGCGUCGUCGCGGCUCCCGAGGCGUUCGUGGCUCCUCUCUGGAAACGCGCCCGGCGCUCGGCUGCGGGCUGAGGCCUCCAAGGCCGACCCGGUCGAGGAGAGCCUCGCCGCCGCGCCGCCGCCGACCGCCCCGUCGGAACCCCUGCCCCGACCACAAACCAGCACAUGGAAUUGGAAGGGCUACAACAUUCGCUACCAGUAUGCCGGAACGUCUGGCCCUGCAUUGGUUCUAAUUCAUGGUUUCGGGGCCAACAGUGACCAUUGGCGGAAAAAUAUUCCUGUUCUUGCCAUGGAAAAUAGAGUUUAUGCAAUUGAUCUAAUUGGUUAUGGCUAUUCUGAUAAGCCUAAUCCACGUGAGUUUCAAGAGAGCUUUUAUACCUUUGAGACUUGGGGAGAACAGUUGAACACGUUUUGUGCUGAAAUUGUCAAGACUGAUGCUUUCUUCAUAUGCAAUUCAAUCGGAGGGCUCGUUGGUCUGCAGGCCGCUGUUAUGCAACCUCAAACUUGUAAGGGUAUUGUUUUAUUGGAUAUUUCACUAAGGAUGCUUCAUAUUAGCAAGCAGCCAUGGUAUGGAAAGCCUUUCAUCAGAUCAUUUCAAAAUCUCCUAAGGAACACUGUUGUUGGAAAGCUCUUCUUUAAUUCUGUUGCAACACCAGAAUCCGUGAAAAAUAUUCUUUCUCAGUGCUACCAUGACACAUCCGCUGUCACAGAUGAGCUGGUUCAGUUUAUUCUGCAGCCAGGGCUUGACCCUGGGGCAGUGGAUGUAUUCCUUGAGUUCAUCUGCUACUCUGGAGGUCCUCUACCUGAGGAUCUACUUCCCAUGGUGAAGUGUCCUGUUUUAGUAGCUUGGGGGGAGAAGGAUCCGUGGGAGCCUGUGGAGCUUGGAAGAGCCUAUGGGUCUUUUGAUGCUGUUGAAGAUUUUAUUGUCUUGCCAAAUGUUGGACACUGCCCACAGGAUGAGGCACCUCAGCUUGUUAAUCCACUUGUCGAAUCAUUUGUUAAACUCCAUAGUUAGCACACAUGGUUGGAUUAUUUUCUCUGUUUAUUAGACAUUGGUCAACUGGAGCCAAGAGUUGCUGGAAGGUGGGAAUGUCUAUAUUAUUGCAGGAUAACAGAUGUGCCAUUCUUUUAUAGGCCAUGAUAGUACUGCAAUUUGAGGACUGGUGGCAAACACAUUCAACAUAUAUUACAGUUCAGGUAUGAGACAUGAGGAAUUAUCUGGUUUUAUUACCGUCGAAGAACAUGUCUGCUCAGAACAUAAGUUAACCUUCUUGUCCAAUACACGGGGUUAGUACAAGCGGCACGUGUUUUUUUUAUUCCGGUGGAGGUACAAUGAAAGUGAAGCAAACUCAUAUGUAUAUAAUUACUCGACUAUUAUUUACUGCAA
Molecule: RNA transcript, 1497 nt
Organism: Lolium rigidum
Lineage: Eukaryota; Viridiplantae; Streptophyta; Magnoliopsida; Poales; Poaceae
Exons: 9
Source: RefSeq, a predicted model, not a curated record